ACGGGAGGCAGCAGUGGGGAAUAUUGGGCAAUGGGCGCAAGCCUGACCCAGCAAUGCCGCGUGAAGGAAGAAGGCUUUCGGGUUGUAAACUUCUUUUAAGUGGGACGAUAAUGACGGUACCACUUGAAUAAGCUCCGGCUAACUACGUGCCAGCAGCCGCGGUAAUACGGAAGGUCCGGGCGUUAUCCGGAUUUAUUGGGUUUAAAGGGAGCGUAGGCCGUGCUUUAAGCGUGUUGUGAAAUGUAGGCGCCCAACGUCUGCACUGCAGCGCGAACUGGAGCACUUGAGUACGCAGGAAGUAGGCGGAAUUCGUCGUGUAGCGGUGAAAUGCUUAGAUAUGACGAAGAACUCCGAUUGGGGAGCCAGCUUACUGUAGCGCCACUGACACUGAUGCUCGAAAGCGUGGGUAUCGAACAGGAUUAGAUACCCUGGUA
Molecule: ribosomal RNA, 434 nt
Filed under: uncultured Prevotella sp.
Lineage: Bacteria; Pseudomonadati; Bacteroidota; Bacteroidia; Bacteroidales; Prevotellaceae
Description: partial 16S ribosomal RNA
Rfam family: Bacterial small subunit ribosomal RNA
Source: RNAcentral